Magnolia sinica is the source of this 567-nucleotide long non-coding RNA. RefSeq lists it as uncharacterized. The record is from RefSeq and is a predicted model, not a curated record. NCBI's taxonomy places the organism in Eukaryota, Viridiplantae, Streptophyta, Magnoliopsida, Magnoliales, Magnoliaceae. The transcript is spliced from 3 exons.
UAUAUUUUUCAUAUUGUGAAGGAAAUGAAGAUGUCAAUCUCCAGCCAUCAUUAUUUGAGCUUUAUUGACCCGGUCCCGACCACCAGCCAGGUCGGACAGAGUUCAAAUAGUUCAGCACCAACUCCGGAGGGUGGUAUUCAUAAUAGAUGAUUUCGAGGCCCCACAGUCAUCAGCGAAGGGGCGAACUUGCCACCCAAUAAGCAGCUGAAUAUAAGUUGGAAUAAGUAUGGGCAGCCUAUUGGACACAAGUACAACGAAUUUACAAGGUGGCUGGGCAUUUUAUCUAAGAAUGGGCGCUUAGCGCCUCUUGAUCACGAUAGUUGGCAUCAUGUGCCACUUUCUAACAAGAAUGAGAUUUGGAAUGAAGUGAAGAUCAAGUGGACUAUCGACGAGGAGCGUCGAAAUUGGGUAAUGAAGUCCAUCGGAUGUUCAUGGAAGGAGUGGAAGAAAAGGUUGAAAAAAGAAAACUACAACCGGUAUUUGACUAAUGAGGAAUGAAUAGCUCACUGUCCUGAUUGAGUGGAGCUGACACACUGGAAGUGGCUCGUCACGUAUUGGUCAAGCGAU